GUGAUGGAAAGUGGCGGACGGGUGAGUAAUGUGUAGAGAAUCUGCCCUUGAGUGGGGGACAACAGUUGGAAACGACUGCUAAUACCCCAUAUGAGCUUAGCUGAAAUGCUAAUCUUGAAAACUCCGGUGCUCAAGGAUGAGUCUGCAUCUGAUUAGCUAGUUGGCGGUGUAAUGGACCACCAAGGCUACGAUCAGUAGCUGGUUUGAGAGGAUGAUCAGCCACAAUGGGACUGAGACACGGCCCAUACUCC
RNAcentral lists this ribosomal RNA (251 nucleotides) under uncultured bacterium. RNAcentral's name for it is "partial 16S ribosomal RNA". It matches the Rfam family "Bacterial small subunit ribosomal RNA", at positions 85 to 339 of the family's 1533-position model. The record is from RNAcentral.